UGAGACUGGACCUACAUCCGGGAGAGGAAGAGGACGAGUGUGGACAGAAGACAGUUUGGAGCUGAAAUGUCAACAGUGUCCUCUGUGGUCCAUUGGAAAUACACGUAGCUGCUAUGAAGACUUCAAACACAAGCGCCCUGAUGUGAAAAGUUGGAGACCUAAUGGACCGGAUGCUCGAGCGAUGUGGGGAACGGUUGAUUGCUGCAGUGUGUUUCCAUUCAACGGGGCAUGGAGAGAGUGGUGACCUAAGGGAGACCCUGUAAUUAUCCUCUGUGUCUGUGACAGGCCCGGAUAAUCAGUCUCACUGGGAAUACUGGCAGAGAUCUGUGGACGAGUGAUUCUGAAAGACCCUAAUCCUCAAUGAAGCUCACUCGCAGCUCUAACACUGCUAGCCGGAGUGCUCUCACAAGACGCCUUUUCUUGACACACUCACAGGUCACCGUGUGCGUAAUCCCUCACGUAUUAUUUUUAAGUCUCUGUCUAUAUUGUAUUUCCCAGUCCUGAUUGCUCAGGAGCAGAUGUUUCAGCACAUUGUAUUUUUUUUUUCUUUUUUCUCCAGCAGAGGUUAUGACCAUGGAAAUGUAAUAGAGCAACAGGGUGAAAAGCUGUCUAAAAUUACCCUUUGUAUCAGUAUAUAUAUUAGUUUAAAUGUUAUAUUUUUAUGGUUAUAGAUUUGUUUGUCCUGUUGAAUAUAAUGAAACUAUUUGUAUCAAAA
This is a long non-coding RNA of Acanthopagrus latus (yellowfin seabream), 715 nucleotides long. RefSeq lists it as uncharacterized. The transcript is spliced from 3 exons. The record is from RefSeq and is a predicted model, not a curated record. NCBI's taxonomy places the organism in Eukaryota, Metazoa, Chordata, Actinopteri, Spariformes, Sparidae.